This 261-nucleotide ribosomal RNA is filed under the name uncultured bacterium. RNAcentral describes it as "partial 16S ribosomal RNA". It matches the Rfam family "Bacterial small subunit ribosomal RNA", at positions 335 to 611 of the family's 1533-position model. The record is from RNAcentral.
AGCCACCUACGGGGCGCAGCAGUGGGGGAUAUUGCACAAUGGGGGAAACCCUGAUGCAGCGACGCCGCGUGGGUGAAGAAGCGCCUCGGCGCGUAAGGCCCUGUCAGCAGGGAAGAAAAUGACGGUACCUGAAGAAGAAGCCCCGGCUAACUACGUGCCAGCAGCCGCGGUAAUACGUAGGGGGCAAGCGUUAUCCGGAUUUACUGGGUGUAAAGGGGGCGCAGACGGCGAUGCAAGCCAGGAGUGAAAGCCCGGGGCCCA